GUGGGGAAUCUUGCGCAAUGGGCGAAAGCCUGACGCAGCCAUGCCGCGUGAAUGAUGAAGGUCUUAGGAUUGUAAAAUUCUUUCACCGGGGACGAUAAUGACGGUACCCGGAGAAGAAGCUCCGGCUAACUUCGUGCCAGCAGCCGCGGUAAUACGAAGGGGGCUAGCGUUGCUCGGAAUUACUGGGCGUAAAGGGCGCGUAGGCGGACAGCUUAGUCAGAGGUGAAAGUCCAGGGCUCAACCUUGGAAUUGCCUUUGAGACUGGCUGUCUUGAGUGUGGGAGAGGUGAGUGGAACCCCGAGUGUAGAGGUGAAAUUCGUAGAUAUUCGGAAGAGCACCAGUGGCGAAGGCGACUCACUGGCCCAAUACUGACGCUGAGGCGCGAAAGCGUGGGGAGCAAACAGGAUUAGAAACCCUGGUAGUCC
This 425-nucleotide ribosomal RNA is filed under the name uncultured bacterium. Its description in RNAcentral is "partial 16S ribosomal RNA". It matches the Rfam family "Bacterial small subunit ribosomal RNA", at positions 354 to 796 of the family's 1533-position model. The record is from RNAcentral.